AUGCACAUAUAUGCAUGCAUGAAUGUGUGUUCAGACCCAUAUGUAUAAGUAAGUUAUGUUGUACAAAUGAAAAUGAAAAGACUAGCUGAUGAAGUAUGCUAGGGCAAGACUGCAGGCUCCUGAUUUUAGCUGCCACACUUUCAGAUUUGCAGACAAUGUUGAAAGCUUGCUGCUGUGACCAAGAUAAGACGAACAGUAGCCCUCGAAGGACUAGCACCACAGCCUAUGACCCCACAGCCAACUUUAGGGAGUUGCAAUGGACAUGGAGCUCCACUCAGAGGGCCCUGGGAAAUGAGAGCUUAUAUUCCAGGGAGUGUGGGGAUAGGGGCGGGGUGAAAGGUAAAAGUAUUAAAUGGGGCAUGGGACUCUGACGGGUACUUUAACAGGAAUGAUCACUCAGUCCCCCUGGAUGAAAUAAGCUUGUCCUUGAGGGAUCCUAUACUGCUUCCCACCUUCCCUCCCAAAAUCCUUCCUCACCCCCUUUCUCUCUCCCAGUUCCUCUGCUGUGUUUCCUCACCUCUGUUUUUUCUGCUAAAACUUUUACUUUAUUGGAUUUGUCAUGCCUAUUUUCCUUACCUGCUGUCAAUCUUUGACUGCAGCAAUGAAAAUAAUCGAAUCACUAGCAACCAUAUCCACGCUCGGAAUUACUUUUAUGAAGGGACAUGCCAGAACUCCGUAAGGUCUGAGUACAAGUCAGGAGGGUAAGGAAUGAAGUAUCAGCAACGAAGGAGUCCACUGGUGUUUGCUUCCUCUUCCCAUCUGCUUUUCUGCCUCAUGAUGCUCUCCUAUGUAGACAUGCGGUGGCUCAUUCCAUACAGUGACUUCUGUGUAAUGUGGCAUUAAAUGAAACCUGGAUUUGAAUUACGUUAGACUUCAAAUGGAAAAGAGCUCUGGAAAUAGCUGGGAAAUCUCCAGGUCAUUAGCUGUAAGUAGAAUCAUAAUUGGCGAGAGGUUACUCCUGCACAGUUUGGAAAUAAGCUGGUGAGUUAAUCUUCCUGUUUGUGGCAGAGAGCUUCUUAAACUUUGAAAGAAAUUAUUUGAGACAUAAAGGUAGGGAUAGAAAUACUUUGCUGGAUCUUCUCCAUUCGUCAAGAUGGUUUUGGAGGGAAAAGUUUGCCAUUGUUCUGAAUUUUUUUUUAUUCUAGUUAAUUCACAUUAUUUUGGAGAGCUUUGCCUAGAAGGAAAACUAAUUUCUUAUGUUCCUUCCCUCUCUUUCAAGUCCUACUCCCCUACCUUUAAACUCUCACGAGGGAUCUUUUGGGAGGGUGAAGUGGGCAGAUAGAAAUUGAAUUGAAAAUAAAUUCUCCAGAAAGCACCAUCGUCCUGGAAAUGGUUCUGUCUGAAUGGAUUCUUUGAGAGGUGUUCUGUUUCCAUCAA
Molecule: long non-coding RNA, 1377 nt
Organism: Myotis davidii
Lineage: Eukaryota; Metazoa; Chordata; Mammalia; Chiroptera; Vespertilionidae
Exons: 3
Source: RefSeq, a predicted model, not a curated record